UACGUAGGGGCCUAGCGUUGUCCGGAUUUAUUGGGCGUAAAGAGCUCGUAGGCGGUUUGGUGAGUCGGGUGUGAAAUCUCCACGCUCAACGUGGAGGGGCCACCCGAUACUGCCAUGACUAGAGUCCGGUAGGGGAGUGUGGAAUUCCCGGUGUAGCGGUGAAAUGCGCAGAUAUCGGGAGGAACACCAGUAGCGAAGGCGACACUCUGGGCCGGUAUUGACGCUGAGACGCGAAAGCGUGGGGAGCGAACAGG
RNAcentral lists this ribosomal RNA (254 nucleotides) under uncultured bacterium. Its description in RNAcentral is "partial 16S ribosomal RNA". It matches the Rfam family "Bacterial small subunit ribosomal RNA", at positions 524 to 776 of the family's 1533-position model. The record is from RNAcentral.